This 390-nucleotide ribosomal RNA is filed under the name Triticum aestivum (bread wheat). RNAcentral's name for it is "partial small subunit ribosomal RNA". The record is from RNAcentral. Lineage: Eukaryota; Viridiplantae; Streptophyta; Magnoliopsida; Poales; Poaceae.
AUGCUUGUCAUUCUUGGAUACACAAGUGAUUUGUCUGAUUGUUUGCAAAGAAGAGACCAAGACAUUCUUUCUGCAAUGGCAAUGGUUAGAUUGGCAAAAGAUAGAAUACAAGAACUGAGGUCUAAUGGGUGGGAUGCAUUUCUUCAAAGAGUCACAUUAUUUUGUAACAAGCAUAGCAUUCAAGUUCCUACAAUGGAGGAUAAUUAUGUGCCUUAUGGAAGAUCAACACGGUUUGUUCGACCCCAAACAAAUGAUGAUCACUUUAGAAGAGAAGUAUUUCUUGGAGUAAUUGAUCAAAUUAGUCAAGAGCUUGAAAAUCGGUUUGACGAGAUCAAUAUGGAGUUGCUAUCUUGUAUGUCUGCUUUGAAUCCUGCCAACUCAUUUGCUGCU